Long non-coding RNA from Solanum pennellii, 455 nucleotides. RefSeq lists it as uncharacterized. Lineage: Eukaryota; Viridiplantae; Streptophyta; Magnoliopsida; Solanales; Solanaceae. The record is from RefSeq and is a predicted model, not a curated record. The transcript is spliced from 3 exons.
CUUAUACAUAAAAGAUGACAAACUGCCCGGUCCAAAAAUGACCAGCCCAGGUAAAUUAUAACUGGAAGACCACCCUUCCAACUUCCUCAACUCCACUCUUCUUGGGUACCUUCGCCUCUUGCCGCAUUGCAGAUGUUCUCCGUCGUUCCUUUCAACUCCAACUUCAUUAAGAUUCUUCUUUAGAUAAUAACUAUUCUCCAUCACUUGUGACGUGUUGUCUUCAUCAGCUAACAAAGGUGUGAUGUCCGGUUUGAAUGCGUGGGUUCUUGUCAAAAUUAAUCAAGGGCAUAGGCCUUUCCUUCCAUCUUAGGAACUCUUUAUGAUAUCAAGUCGAGCGAGCAAAGAUCUCCCAAGCUUCAUUUUCCUGAUUACCUAGCAGCGUGCUUGCAACAAUAUCAGAUUUUUCCUCUUCACACACCCCUUUUGCUUGUCCCUAUAUCACUUUUUGAUGGCAG